This 464-nucleotide ribosomal RNA is filed under the name uncultured bacterium. RNAcentral's name for it is "bacterial SSU rRNA". It matches the Rfam family "Bacterial small subunit ribosomal RNA", at positions 1046 to 1509 of the family's 1533-position model. The record is from RNAcentral.
UGGCUGUCGUCAGCUCGUGUCGUGAGAUGGUUGGGUUAAGUCCCGCAACGAGCGCAACCCUUUUCCUUAUUUGCCAGCGGUUAAGCCGGGAACUUUAAGGAUACUGCCAGUGACAAACUGGAGGAAGGCGGGGACGACGUCAAGUCAUCAUGGCCCUUACGACCAGGGCUACACACGUGCUACAAUGGUCGGUACAAAGGGUUGCUACCACGCGAGUGGAUGCUAAUCUCAAAAAGCCGAUCGUAGUCCGGAUUGGAGUCUGCAACUCGACUCCAUGAAGUCGGAAUCGCUAGUAAUCGCGGAUCAGAAUGCCGCGGUGAAUACGUUCCCGGGCCUUGUACACACCGCCCGUCACACCAUGGGAGUUUGUUGCACCAGAAGUAGGUAGUCUAACCUUAGGGGGGACGCUUACCACGGUGUGGCAGAUGACUGGGGUGAAGUCGUAACAAGGUAAGCGUAGAUGA